This 518-nucleotide ribosomal RNA is filed under the name uncultured bacterium. RNAcentral describes it as "bacterial SSU rRNA". It matches the Rfam family "Bacterial small subunit ribosomal RNA", at positions 98 to 635 of the family's 1533-position model. The record is from RNAcentral.
GCGGACGGGUGAGUAACGCGUGGGUAACCUACCCUGUACACACGGAUAACAUACCGAAAGGUAUGCUAAUACGGGAUAAUAUAUUUGAGAGGCAUCUCUUAAAUAUCAAAGGUGAGCCAGUACAGGAUGGACCCGCGUCUGAUUAGCUAGUUGGUAAGGUAACGGCUUACCAAGGCGACGAUCAGUAGCCGACCUGAGAGGGUGAUCGGCCACAUUGGAACUGAGACACGGUCCAAACUCCUACGGGAGGCAGCAGUGGGGAAUAUUGCACAAUGGGCGAAAGCCUGAUGCAGCAACGCCGCGUGAGUGAUGAAGGCCUUCGGGUCGUAAAACUCUGUCCUCAAGGAAGAUAAUGACGGUACUUGAGGAGGAAGCCCCGGCUAACUACGUGCCAGCAGCCGCGGUAAUACGUAGGGGGCUAGCGUUAUCCGGAUUUACUGGGCGUAAAGGGUGCGUAGGCGGUCUUUCAAGUCAGGAGUGAAAGGCUACGGCUCAACCGUAGUAAGCUCUUGAAACUG